CCAAAUUGCUUUAUUAGAUGUGCAUUAAAAUAACGAUCAACGUUUCAGCCCCACUCUGGACUUUCUUCAGGAUCAGGAAAAUACAAUAUAUUGUGGGGCUGAAACGUUGAUCGUUAUUUUAAUGCAUAUCUAAUAAAGCUAUUUGG
This is a non-coding RNA of Pelobates cultripes (western spadefoot toad), 146 nucleotides long. The record is from the annotation of a GenBank genome assembly. NCBI's taxonomy places the organism in Eukaryota, Metazoa, Chordata, Amphibia, Anura, Pelobatidae.